Rosa chinensis is the source of this 1901-nucleotide long non-coding RNA. RefSeq lists it as uncharacterized. The transcript has 4 exons. The record is from RefSeq and is a predicted model, not a curated record. Lineage: Eukaryota; Viridiplantae; Streptophyta; Magnoliopsida; Rosales; Rosaceae.
UGCUGGAGCGGUUUAGGUACUUGACCGAAGAAGCUCCAGACCCUCAUGUGAGGUGGCCUUGGUUUCUGGGUAAAAUGCUUCACUAUCUUUGUCUAUCUUUUUUUGUGUUUUAUGAGAAAUUGGUGAUGAUUGGAAAAGUGAGCAAAAUGAAAGAUGGAAUCUUUGGGCUUGUGUUGAAUUGGGGUCUUGGUAGUGUGGAAUCAUUGUAUUGUUAAAACUUGUACUGGGAAUUUUCCAUUUGGUAUAGGCUCGGCAUCCUUUGUAGCCCAAUUUCAAUUUGAUAGAUUUGAAAAAGAAUUAGUAGAGAGUCUUGUAGAUAUUCCUUUAAAGAAGAUGGUUUGAGUUUAAAAAGAGUUGUGCAAUAGAGGUUAAGGACGCUAUUAGGCAAUUACAAGUGCUGGCAAUGUGUAAUGGAUUGGAAGCAAAUGGUUGUGAAAAGCUUCUUGUGUUAUUGCGAGAUGGGCAAAAGGUGUCGGGAUUACUACGGUGAACUGGUGCGGUAAACGGUAGCAACAAGCAAACGGGUGGAUGGAAGAGGCAUGGAAAAGAGAGAGAUGGACAACAGACAUGUAUAAAAGAGUUUGUGAUGCAACCCCAAGCAAAAGUGGAAGUUCAUGCAGUUCAAACGAUAAGGAGUUUCAUGCUUAAGUGACUCGUAUUGGAUAAGCCAUCACUUAUCACAAAACCAACACCAACAGAGCCCCAUGUUUCAUCUAGCCUUUGUAGAGCCCAUAUCAAGAUUCAAGCGUGAAGGUCGCGGUCACUGAAAUCAAUAUCGAGGAGCUGACGAAGGCUUAGCCUUCGCAGAAACCAUACCAAUGCCGAUGGUGUAGGCGAAGACGAUGAAGGCGUUGAGGACAUGCUGUAAGAUCUUCGGUUAGCGAAUUUGAAGAAUUAUCUCAUCCUAUCUCCCAUCAUCUUGGCUGGUAAGUCCUUGUUAUAAUUACAAAUAUUUUUUAUAUCUAGAUGUAAGAUAUCUGAUAUUGCUAUGACAAUUAUUUUCUAGUAGAGGACGGUUACUGAGGCUGGUCUUUAAUUGAAACUUGAAAGACAUCGGGUUGAACUGGUAUAUGGUAAUCAACUAGGUUAAUAGGGUUUCUAUGAAUGGAGUAUGCAUGAAUUUUUUCCUUCAAUUUAUUAAGUUUAAGAAGUUGUACUACUGUUCACUUGCAAGUAGCCAAAAACCAAAUUUGAAAUUGAUCGUUGUUGUUGUUAGUAGAUGUGUUAAGUAAGAUCCUAGUAAUGUAACGAAAAUUAAUCCUGGAAAAUAACAGGAACGAAAGCAAAAAAUUAUUUUUCUUGUCAUCAACUCCCAAUUUGUGGUUGUACAAGAUUGUCUCAUUCACUAUCCAAAACCCAAACAAAGACGAUUGGGUGACCAAAUCAGAUUGACACCAAAGAUAAAUACAAUGAAAGCAUGUAUAAACUAGUCAUCCUAUUAAUUUGUACAGGAUAGUAUGAUAACUUAUUUGAUCUGUAAUGGAGAUUAAUCGGAAAUGUUUAGGCUUUUCUUAUUUUAUUUUAUUUUAUUUUUUGCUGUUUUAUAACAAUGCUAGUUAAUACUUCUGUCAUUCUUAUCCUGAUGCAGGAGCAUCCAAGAGGCUUUCCAAUUUAGUUUAGGGUUACAGUAGUUCUUGUCAGGGUUUUGUUUCCUUUCCCAGUUCAGAGGGCUACGGUAUAAUAUUUGGGCAGUUUUGGUUGGAUGGGAGGUGGUACAGAUGUGCCUACUAGAAAAAUUCUCAGUUAGUUUUGAUUGGAUAGGGGAAUAUGUACCUACUAGACUAGGCUUGUUGAACCUUCAACUGUUAUGCUAUAUUUUCCGAACGAAGUUAUUGUAUGUAUACAUAUAUUUAAGUAUACUGUGGUUUUAUGUCUAGCAGAUUCCAAACUGAUGCGGUUUA